UGGACAGAUUACUGUAUUCGAUUGUAUUCACGGCGUGAAACAGGGGAUUACAUUGUUUUUAAACGGAAAAUGUAUCAAUUAACAUAAUAGACUCCU
RNAcentral lists this microRNA precursor (96 nucleotides) under Nicotiana sylvestris (wood tobacco). Its description in RNAcentral is "MIR6152 microRNA precursor family". It matches the Rfam family "MIR6152 microRNA precursor family". The record is from Rfam by way of RNAcentral. RNAcentral also lists the same sequence under 1 other name. Lineage: Eukaryota; Viridiplantae; Streptophyta; Magnoliopsida; Solanales; Solanaceae.